ACGCGUCGUUCGUGACGGGCGCGACGCUGGUCGCGGACGGCGGCGCCACCGUCGUGGACGUGCCGACGCUCGCGUUCGACGCGCGAUGACGCGAC
RNAcentral lists this transfer RNA (95 nucleotides) under Burkholderia multivorans. Its description in RNAcentral is "tRNA-Val(gac)". The record is from RNAcentral. Lineage: Bacteria; Pseudomonadati; Pseudomonadota; Betaproteobacteria; Burkholderiales; Burkholderiaceae.